RNAcentral lists this ribosomal RNA (468 nucleotides) under uncultured bacterium. RNAcentral's name for it is "partial 16S ribosomal RNA". It matches the Rfam family "Bacterial small subunit ribosomal RNA", at positions 28 to 507 of the family's 1533-position model. The record is from RNAcentral.
GACGAACGCUGGCGGCGUGCUUAACACAUGCAAGUCGAACGGAAAGGCCCUGCUUUUGUGGGGUGCUCGAGUGGCGAACGGGUGAGUAACACGUGAGUAACCUGCCCUUGACUUUGGGAUAACUUCAGGAAACUGGGGCUAAUACCGGAUAGGAGCUCCUGCUGCAUGGUGGGGGUUGGAAAGUUUCGGCGGUUGGGGAUGGACUCGCGGCUUAUCAGCUUGUUGGAGGGGUAGUGGCUUACCAAGGCUUUGACGGGUAGCCGGCCUGAGAGGGUGACCGGCCACAUUGGGACUGAGAUACGGCCCAGACUCCUACGGGAGGCAGCAGUGGGGAAUAUUGCACAAUGGGCGGAAGCCUGAUGCAACAACGCCGCGUGCGGGAUGACGGCCUUCGGGUUGUAAACCGCUUUCGCCUGUGACGAAGCGUGAGUGACGGUAAUGGGUAAAGAAGCACCGGCUAACUACGUG